AGGACGAACGCUGGCGGCGUGCUUAACACAUGCAAGUCGAGCGGUAAGGCCUUUCGGGGUACACGAGCGGCGAACGGGUGAGUAACACGUGGGUGAUCUGCCCUGCACUCUGGGAUAAGCCUGGGAAACUGGGUCUAAUACCGGAUAUGACCUGCUCUCGCAUGGGGGUGGGUGGAAAGAUUUAUUGGUGCAGGAUGGGCCCGCGGCCUAUCAGCUUGUUGGUGGGGUAAUGGCCUACCAAGGCGACGACGGGUAGCCGACCUGAGAGGGUGACCGG
This 277-nucleotide ribosomal RNA is filed under the name uncultured soil bacterium. RNAcentral's name for it is "partial 16S ribosomal RNA". It matches the Rfam family "Bacterial small subunit ribosomal RNA", at positions 26 to 307 of the family's 1533-position model. The record is from RNAcentral.